Molecule: ribosomal RNA, 321 nt
Filed under: uncultured eukaryote
Lineage: Eukaryota
Description: partial 18S ribosomal RNA
Rfam family: Eukaryotic small subunit ribosomal RNA
Source: RNAcentral
CCCUUAGAUGUCCUGGGCCGCACGCGUGCUACACUGAUACGUGCAACAAGUUUUUCUCCUGGCUCGGAAGAGUUCGGGUAAUCUUGAUAAUGCGUAUCGUGCUAGGGAUAGAUCUUUGAAAUUAUGGAUCUUGAACGAGGAAUUCCUAGUAAGCAUAAGUCAUCAGCUUGUGCUGAUUACGUCCCUGCCCUUUGUACACACCGCCCGUCGCUGCUACCGAUUUUGAGUGAUCCGGUGAACCUUCUGGACCGUAUUCGGGCUUGACCCGGACGUGGGAAAUUAAGUAAACCUUAUCACUUAGAGGAAGCAGAAGUCGUAACA